GAUCAUGGCUCAGGACGAACGCUGGCGGCGUGCCUAACACAUGCAAGUCGAACGGAGAUACGAUUUCGGUUGUAUCUUAGUGGCGAACGGGUGAGUAACGCGUGAGCAACCUGACCUUUAGAGGGGGAUAACACUUGGAAACAGGUGCUAAUACCGCAUAAGACCACGACCUGACAUCAGGAUGAGGUCAAAGGAGCAAUCCGCUAAAGGAGGGGCUCGCGUCCCAUUAGAUAGAUGGCGGGUAACGGCCCACCAUGUCGACGAUGGGUAGCCGAGCUGAGAGGCUGAUCGGCCACACUGGAACUGAGACACGGUCCAGACUCCUACGGGAGGCAGCAGUGGGGAAUAUUGGGCAAUGGGCGCAAGCCUGACCCAGCAACGCCGCGUGAGGGAAGAAGGCCUUCGGGUUGUAAACCUCUGUCCUUGGUGACGAAACAAAUGACGGUAGCCAAGGAGGAAGCCCCGGCUAACUACGUG
RNAcentral lists this ribosomal RNA (477 nucleotides) under uncultured bacterium. RNAcentral's name for it is "bacterial SSU rRNA". It matches the Rfam family "Bacterial small subunit ribosomal RNA", at positions 15 to 507 of the family's 1533-position model. The record is from RNAcentral.